Molecule: ribosomal RNA, 697 nt
Filed under: uncultured bacterium
Lineage: Bacteria
Description: bacterial SSU rRNA
Rfam family: Bacterial small subunit ribosomal RNA
Source: RNAcentral
UUUUGGAGCGGGCUAUCUGCUAUCAGCUAGUUGGUGAGGUAACGGCUCACCAAGGCUAUGACGGCUAGCUGGUCUGAGAGGACGACCAGCCACAUUGGCACUGAGACACUGGCCAGACUCCUACGGGGGGCUGCAGCAACGAAUCUUCCCCAAUGCCGGAAACGGUGAGGGAGCGACGCCGCGUGAAGGACGAAGUUCUUCGGAAUGUAAACUUAUGUAAGGGUCAUGAAAGGCGAGCGCCUAACACGCGCAAAGCUUGAUCUGACCCCUAAAAGGGGCGGCUAACUCUGUGCCAGCAGCCGCGGUAAUACAGAGGCCCCAAGCGUUACUGAGAAUCACUGGGUUUAAAGGGUGCGUAGGUGGCGCGUUAAGUCCGUUGUGAAAUCCCUGUGCUCAACGCAGGAAAUGCUUCGGAUACUGGCGUGCUUGAGGCUAGUAGAGGUCACUAGAACUGACGGUGGAGCGGUGAAGUGCGUAGAUAUCGUCAGGAAUGCCGGUGGUGAAGACGGGAGACUGGGCUAGUUCUGACACUGAGGCACGAAAGCGUGGGGAGCGAACGGGAUUAGAUACCCCGGUAGUCCACGCCGGUAAACGAUGCAGACUAGAUUGCAGCGGGUUACACCACGUUGCGGUCGUAGCGAAAUUGUUAAGUCUGCCACCUGGGAAGGACGGUCGCAAGGCUAAAACUCAAAGGAAA